This 254-nucleotide ribosomal RNA is filed under the name uncultured bacterium. RNAcentral describes it as "partial 16S ribosomal RNA". It matches the Rfam family "Bacterial small subunit ribosomal RNA", at positions 524 to 776 of the family's 1533-position model. The record is from RNAcentral.
GACGUAGGGCGCGAGCGUUGUCCGGAAUUAUUGGGCGUAAAGAGCUCGUAGGCGGUGUGUCGCGUCGGCCGUGAAAACCUGCAGCUUAACUGUGGGCGUGCGGUCGAUACGGGCAUCACUGGAGUUCGGCAGGGGAGACUGGAAUUCCUGGUGUAGCGGUGAAAUGCGCGGAUAUCAGGAGGAACACCGGUGGCGAAGGCGGGUCUCUGGGAAACAACUGACGCUGAGGAACGAAAGCGUGGGUAGCAAACAGG